RNAcentral lists this ribosomal RNA (502 nucleotides) under uncultured bacterium. RNAcentral's name for it is "partial 16S ribosomal RNA". It matches the Rfam family "Bacterial small subunit ribosomal RNA", at positions 29 to 523 of the family's 1533-position model. The record is from RNAcentral.
AUUGAACGCUGGCGGAAUGCUUUACACAUGCAAGUCGAACGGCAGCACGGGUGCUUGCACCUGGUGGCGAGUGGCGAACGGGUGAGUAAUACAUCGGAACGUACCCAGUCGUGGGGGAUAACGUAGCGAAAGUUACGCUAAUACCGCAUACGUCCUGAGGGAGAAAGCGGGGGAGCGUAAGGCCUCGCGCGAUUGGAGCGGCCGAUGGCGGAUUAGCUAGUUGGUGGGGUAAAGGCCUACCAAGGCGACGAUCCGUAGCGGGUCUGAGAGGACGGGCCGCCAGAAUGGAACUGAGACGCGGUCCAUGCCCAUGCGGGAGGCAGCAGUGGGGAAUUUUGGACAAUGGGAGAAAGCCUGAUCCAGACAUGCCGUGUGAGGGAAGAAGGCCUUCGGGUUGUAAAGCUCUUUCGGCAGGGAAGAAACGGCUUGGAAUAAUACCCCGGGCUAAUGACGGUACCUGAAGAAGAAGCACCGGCUAACUACGUGCCAGCCGCCGCGGUAA